CCCUUAGACGUCCUGGGCCGCACGCGCGCUACACUGAGUGUCUGAGAUACGAGUCUGCCUGGUCCGGCAAGGUCUAGGUAAUCGCUAAAAGACACAUCAUGCUUGGGAUAGAUUAUUGCAAAUAUUAAUCUUGAACGAGGAAUUCCUAGUAAGCGCAAGUCAACAGCUUGCGUUUAUUACGUCCCUGCCCUUUGUACACACCGCCCGUCGCUACUACUGAUUGGAUGUUUAAGCGAGGUUCUCGAACUGCUAGCGACUUAGCUUCGGUGAGGUCGCAGUGUGGGAAGUGAACCUAGCUUUGGUGUCUAGAGGAAGUAAAAGUCGUAACA
This 329-nucleotide ribosomal RNA is filed under the name uncultured eukaryote. RNAcentral describes it as "partial 18S ribosomal RNA". It matches the Rfam family "Eukaryotic small subunit ribosomal RNA", at positions 1470 to 1796 of the family's 1831-position model. The record is from RNAcentral.